AGUGAACGCCGGCGGUAGGCCUAACACAUGCAAGUCGAACGGCAGCACAGUAAGAGCUUGCUCUUACGGGUGGCGAGUGGCGGACGGGUGAGGAAUACAUCGGAAUCUACUUUUUCGUGGGGGAUAACGUAGGGAAACUUACGCUAAUACCGCAUACGACCUACGGGUGAAAGCAGGGGAUCUUCGGACCUUGCGCGAUUGAAUGAGCCGAUGUCGGAUUAGCUAGUUGGCGGGGUAAAGGCCCACCAAGGCGACGAUCCGUAGCUGGUCUGAGAGGAUGAUCAGCCACACUGGAACUGAGACACGGUCCAGACUCCUACGGGAGGCAGCAGUGGGGAAUAUUGGACAAUGGGCGCAAGCCUGAUCCAGCCAUACCGCGUGGGUGAAGAAGGCCUUCGGGUUGUAAAGCCCUUUUGUUGGGAAAGAAAAGCAGCAGGUUAAUACCCCGCUGUUCUGACGGUACCCAAAGAAUAAGCACCGGCUAACUUCGU
RNAcentral lists this ribosomal RNA (491 nucleotides) under uncultured bacterium. RNAcentral's name for it is "partial 16S ribosomal RNA". It matches the Rfam family "Bacterial small subunit ribosomal RNA", at positions 29 to 506 of the family's 1533-position model. The record is from RNAcentral.